Molecule: ribosomal RNA, 495 nt
Filed under: uncultured bacterium
Lineage: Bacteria
Description: partial 16S ribosomal RNA
Rfam family: Bacterial small subunit ribosomal RNA
Source: RNAcentral
GAUGAACGCUGGCGGCGUGCCUAAUACAUGCAAGUCGAGCGAACAGACGAGGAGCUUGCUCCUCUGACGUUAGCGGCGGACGGGUGAGUAACACGUGGAUAACCUACCUAUAAGACUGGGAUAACUUCGGGAAACCGGAGCUAAUACCGGAUAAUAUAUUGAACCGCAUGGUUCAAUAGUGAAAGACGGUUUUGCUGUCACUUAUAGAUGGAUCCGCGCCGCAUUAGCUAGUUGGUAAGGUAACGGCUUACCAAGGCGACGAUGCGUAGCCGACCUGAGAGGGUGAUCGGCCACACUGGAACUGAGACACGGUCCAGACUCCUACGGGAGGCAGCAGUAGGGAAUCUUCCGCAAUGGGCGAAAGCCUGACGGAGCAACGCUGCGUGAGUGAUGAAGGUCUUCGGAUCGUAAAACUCUGUUAUUAGGGAAGAACAAAUGUGUAAGUAACUAUGCACGUCUUGACGGUACCUAAUCAGAAAGCCACGGCUAACUACG